GGUUAUGCCGGCGCUUAUAUAACAACGUUUUUAAAAACGCUGCAGAAAGGUGGUGCUUCUUUCAAUAAACGUCACGUCACUCCGUACGAAGAGGAAGGCCUGUUGCGUUUUUCUAUAUAUCAGAUAAAAAAAAUAUUUUACAAAAUCCCUCUCUCAUAAAAAGAAGCGUGAGGGAGAGAUGAGGGUUUUUACUUUUUAGUGAGAGAAAGUUUGCAAGAAUGGCGUCUAGGGUUUGGAUCUGCUGAUUUUUCUUCGAUUUCUCAGUAAUCAUUUUAUUUAGGCUUUGGAUCUAUGUGUUAUUCAAUUUCCCUCUAAUUGAUUUGCGAUUUGCCUUUGAAAGCGAGGAGUUAUAGACGAAUCGAAACUAUUGGUUCGAUUUCUACACUUCACCGGAUCUGAUCUCAAAACUUGUAUUUCGUGCUCUAUUUGCGUCGAAUCGAUCCCGAUGUUCCCAUGGUUCAAGAAGAAGAGGCAUCUUAGAACUAACAGGUUUGAUCUCGAAGCCUGUGUUCCGAUGGUUCGAGAAUGAGAGAUCGAUGUGGUACUUUAACUGGUUUUAGUAAUGAGGCCUUUGUUUUUUAUUUUCAACCUCAAGAUCCUGAAAAUAUAUAUGUAGCACUUGCAGUUCUAUCUGGCAGAAAAAUACAAGUUUUCCGAGGGGUCACAUAGCAUAAUUUCCAGCUACUUGGGAAAAAAGGCAUUAAAAUGGAAGUUAUGGAAGUACUCUAAUGCAAUUAAAGGAGAGAUAGCGAAUAUCUUUUGAUUCCAUAUGUAUAGCUGUGGCAUCUCAAGCUUCUUCAGCUAAUAUAAAGAAGAAAACAGAGAAACAUGUUGAUGAUGGUGGUGGUGAUAUAGUUGAAGCAGUACCAAACCUGAAGUUGCUUCAGCAUCAUCAUUGGGAGGUGCUAAUUGAAGUUUUCAAAGACGGAAAAUUUCGUGAUCAGGGUUUUUGGUGUGGCAAUGUCCCAGCACUCCUCAUGGUUAUGCCAUAUACUGCCAUACAAUUUACUGUGUUACACAAAUUGAAGACAUUUGCAACUGGUUCUUCCAAGACAGGUUUGUUAAACAACUCAAACAACAUCAUCAGAGACACAAC
Molecule: non-coding RNA, 1096 nt
Organism: Camellia sinensis
Lineage: Eukaryota; Viridiplantae; Streptophyta; Magnoliopsida; Ericales; Theaceae
Source: RefSeq, a predicted model, not a curated record